This 253-nucleotide ribosomal RNA is filed under the name uncultured bacterium. RNAcentral's name for it is "partial 16S ribosomal RNA". It matches the Rfam family "Bacterial small subunit ribosomal RNA", at positions 524 to 776 of the family's 1533-position model. The record is from RNAcentral.
UACGAAGGGGGUGAGCGUUGUUCGGAAUUACUGGGCGUAAAGCGCGCGUAGGCGGCCGAUCAAGUUAGAUGUGAAAGUCCUGGGCUUAACCUGGGGACUGCAUUUGAUACUGCUUGGCUUGAAUUCGGGAGAGGAUAGCGGAAUUCCCAGUGUAGAGGUGAAAUUCGUAGAUAUUGGGAAGAACACCGGUGGCGAAGGCGGCUAUCUGGACCGACAUUGACGCUGAGGCGCGAAAGCGUGGGGAGCAAACAGG